GUAGAUGAAAAUUAGUCCCAUAUUUUAUUCCUUCAUCGCUAAGAGCAAUACAUACAAGACAACGGUUGAGGAGGUGCAGCCCAUGAGAAAAGCAGUACGUGUGCCCCACAUAUAUAUAUAUAUAUAUAUAUAUUUGUAUAUACAUCGAAAUAGGUACACUUUUCUGAUGAUUAUUAUUGACCAAGUUCAUGUGCUUGGUGGGUGGUCGAGAGUAUGAUCAGGACCAUCCUGCAGGUAAAGAGGACGAUUUGACAGAGCAGCCAAGAAAUAUAUAUCAUCAAUGGAGUAAAAUUUUGGCUGUAUAGUCAUGUAUACAUAUCGCUGACAUACUCACGAAGUUGUACUCACUAUAUUUAUAUACAUAUGUACCUCAAUUUUAUAAAUAUUGUCU
RNAcentral lists this long non-coding RNA (391 nucleotides) under Carica papaya (papaya). RNAcentral describes it as "long non-coding RNA (CPAP_LNC012928)". Lineage: Eukaryota; Viridiplantae; Streptophyta; Magnoliopsida; Brassicales; Caricaceae. The record is from RNAcentral.